GUUGGGCACUCUGAAAGAACUGCCAGUGAUAAGCUGGAGGAAGGUGGGGAUGACGUCAAGUCCUCAUGGCCCUUACGUGUUGGGCUACACACGUGCUACAAUGGCAUUUACAAUAGGAAGCAAGAUGGCGACAUCAAGCAAAUCCUAAAAAGAUGCCUCAGUUCGGAUUGUACUCUGCAACUCGAGUACAUGAAGCUGGAAUUACUAGUAAUCGCGGAUCAGCGCGCCGCGGUGAAUACGUUCCCGGGUCUUGUACACACCGCCCGUCACACCAUGGGAGUUGGUUCUACCUUAAGGCAAGGUUUAAAACCCUUGACCACGGUAUAGUCAGCGACUGGGGUGAAGUCGUAACAAGGUAGCCGUAGGGGAACCUGCGGCUGGAUUACCUCCUUU
This 393-nucleotide ribosomal RNA is filed under the name Candidatus Pelagibacter sp. RNAcentral's name for it is "bacterial SSU rRNA". It matches the Rfam family "Bacterial small subunit ribosomal RNA", at positions 1130 to 1533 of the family's 1533-position model. Lineage: Bacteria; Pseudomonadati; Pseudomonadota; Alphaproteobacteria; Candidatus Pelagibacterales; Candidatus Pelagibacteraceae. The record is from RNAcentral.